This 25-nucleotide non-coding RNA is filed under the name Callithrix jacchus (white-tufted-ear marmoset). Lineage: Eukaryota; Metazoa; Chordata; Mammalia; Primates; Cebidae. RNAcentral also lists the same sequence under 4 other names. The record is from RNAcentral.
CUUCUGGGUCGGGGUUUCGUACGUA